CUUUUUAAAAAUUCUUAGAGAGUUCCCGCUGUUUCUGCCCCAGAACCGGGCGAAAACUGUGUAUGAGGGAUUCAUUUCGGCUCAGGGGAAAGACUUCCACCUUAGAAUAGUGUUGCCUGAAGAUUUACAAGUGAAGAAUGCAAGAUUACUAUGCAGUUGGCAGUUGAAAGCUAUACUUAAUGGAUACCAUCAAAUAGUCCAACAGAGAAUGCAGCACUCUGCUGAUCUAAUGAGUUUUAUGAUGGAGUUGAAGAUGAUUUUGGAAGUUGCUUUAAGGAAUAGACAAGAGUUAUGCGCACUACCUCCUCCUCCCCAGUUCUAUUCAAGCCUUAUUGAAGAGAUAGGAACUCUUGGUUGGGAUAAUAUCCCGCAGAAUCACCAGAUUGUUUUGUGGAUUUUCCUGUUCCAUUUUCUAUUUCCUGGACACCACAGGGCUCCUUAAUUGUUAGAGUCUGUAAACAAGUCAAAAAUAACA
This 475-nucleotide long non-coding RNA is filed under the name Marmota monax (woodchuck). The record is from RNAcentral. Lineage: Eukaryota; Metazoa; Chordata; Mammalia; Rodentia; Sciuridae.